GAGACACUGGUUCCCAUAUAAUCACUGAAGUUAAGCAACAUCAAGCCUGGUUAGUACCUAGAUGGGUGACUGCUUGGGAAUACCAAGUGCU
Molecule: non-coding RNA, 91 nt
Organism: Acanthosepion pharaonis
Lineage: Eukaryota; Metazoa; Mollusca; Cephalopoda; Sepiida; Sepiidae
Source: the annotation of a GenBank genome assembly